GCUGGCGGCACUAGCGCGGUGGUCCCACCUGACCCCAUGCCGAACUCAGAAGUGAAACGCCGUAGCGCCGAUGGUAGUGGGGUCUCCCCAUGUGAGUAGGGAACUGCCAGCA
RNAcentral lists this ribosomal RNA (112 nucleotides) under Klebsiella pneumoniae. Lineage: Bacteria; Pseudomonadati; Pseudomonadota; Gammaproteobacteria; Enterobacterales; Enterobacteriaceae. The record is from RNAcentral.